RNAcentral lists this ribosomal RNA (782 nucleotides) under uncultured bacterium. RNAcentral describes it as "bacterial SSU rRNA". It matches the Rfam family "Bacterial small subunit ribosomal RNA", at positions 111 to 870 of the family's 1533-position model. The record is from RNAcentral.
UAAUACGUGUAGUGCCUGGCUUUACCACUGGGAUAACAUUCCUAAACGGGUGCUAAUACCGGAUAAGACCACUGUUCGGAAGUACCGAGGUAGCAUCAUAGCCUCUGAUUUAUCCUGUCACGUACAAAUGGGCCCACGGCCUAUCAACUUGUUGGCGGGAUAACGGCCCACCAAGGCUUCGACGGGUAGCCGGCCUGAGAGGGUGAACGGCCACACUGGAACUGAGACACGGUCCAGACUCCUACGGGAGGCAGCAGUGGGGAAUUUUGCGCAAUGCGCGAAAGCCUGACGCAGCAACGCCGCGUGAGGGACGAAGGCCUUCGGGUUGUAAACCUCUUUUACUUGGGAAGAACCCCUCCCUUGCAAAUAGUGGGGGAGACUGACGGUACCAAUAGAAUAAGCCACGGCUAACUCUGUGCCAGCAGCCGCGGUAAGACAGAGGUGGCCAGCGUUGUUCGGAUUUAUUGGGCGUAAAGAGCGCGUAGGCGGUCCUGUAAUUCGGUGGUGAAAUCCCGGGGCUUAACCCCGGAAUUCCCCUCGAUACUGCUGGACUUGAGUGCGGGAGAGGAUAGUGGAAUUCCUAGUGUAGAGGUGAAAUUGGUAGAUAUUAGGAAGAACACCAGUGGGGAAGGCAGCUAUCUGGACCGCAACUGACGUUGAGGCGCGAAAGCGUGGGGAGCAAACAGGAUUAGAUACCCUGGUAGUCCACGCCCUAAACGAUGGACACUAGGUGUGGGAGGUAUCGACCCCUUCCGUGCCGUAGCAAACGCAUUAAGUGUCCC